Molecule: ribosomal RNA, 484 nt
Filed under: uncultured bacterium
Lineage: Bacteria
Description: partial 16S ribosomal RNA
Rfam family: Bacterial small subunit ribosomal RNA
Source: RNAcentral
AUUGAACGCUGGCGGCAGGCCUAACACAUGCAAGUCGAGCGGAUGAAGGGAGCUUGCUCCUGGAUUCAGCGGCGGACGGGUGAGUAAUGCCUAGGAAUCUGCCUGGUAGUGGGGGAUAACGUCCGGAAACGGGCGCUAAUACCGCAUACGUCCUGAGGGAGAAAGUGGGGGAUCUUCGGACCUCGCGCUAUCAGAUGAGCCUAGGUCGGAUUAGCUAGUUGGUGGGGUAAAGGCCUACCAAGGCGACGAUCCGUAACUGGUCUGAGAGGAUGAUCAGUCACACUGGAAGUGAGACACGGUCCAGACUCCUACGGGAGGCAGCAGUGGGGAAUAUUGGACAAUGGGCGAAAGCCUGAUCCAGCCAUGCCGCGUGUGUGAAGAAGGUCUUCGGAUUGUAAAGCACUUUAAGUUGGGAGGAAGGGCAGUAAGUUAAUACCUUGCUGUUUUGACGUUACCAACAGAAUAAGCACCGGCUAACUUCGUG